This 691-nucleotide ribosomal RNA is filed under the name uncultured bacterium. RNAcentral's name for it is "bacterial SSU rRNA". It matches the Rfam family "Bacterial small subunit ribosomal RNA", at positions 807 to 1495 of the family's 1533-position model. The record is from RNAcentral.
CGAUGUCUACUAAAAGCUCGGUUCUUCGGAACCUGUUUUUCAAAGCUAACGCAUUAAGUAGACCGCCUGGGGAGUACGGCCGCAAGGUUAAAACUCAAAUGAAUUGACGGGGGCCCGCACACACGGUGGAGCAUGUGGUUUAAUUCGAUGCAACGCGAAGAACCUUACCUACACUUGACAUACAGAGAACUUACCAGAGGUGGAUUGGUGCCUUCGGGAACUCUGAGACAGGUGCUGCAUGGCUGUCGUCAGCUCGUGUUGUGAAAUGUUGGGUUAAGUCCCGCAACGAGCGCAACCCUUAUCCUUUGUUGCCAGCGAGUAAUGUCGGGAACUCAAAGGAGACUGCCGGUGAUAAACCGGAGGAAGGUGGGGAUGACGUCAAGUCAUCAUGGCCCUUACGAGUAGGGCUACACACGUGCUACAAUGGCGUAUACAAAGGGAAGCGACCCCGCGAGGGCAAGCGGAACUCAUAAAGUACAUCGUAGUCCGGAUUGGAGUCUGCAACUCGACUCCAUGAAGUCGGAAUCGCUAGUAAUCGUAGAUCAGAAUGCUACGGUGAAUACGUUCCCGGGCCUUGUACACACCGCCCGUCACACCAUGGGAGUGGGUUGCAAAAGAAGUAGGUAGCUUAACCUCCGGGAGGGCGCUUACCAGUUUGAGAUUCAAGCUCCUGGGGUCAAGUCGUAACAAG